Molecule: transfer RNA, 74 nt
Filed under: Mus musculus (house mouse)
Lineage: Eukaryota; Metazoa; Chordata; Mammalia; Rodentia; Muridae
Description: tRNA-Ser
Rfam family: tRNA
About the family: Transfer RNA (tRNA) molecules are approximately 80 nucleotides in length. Their secondary structure includes four short double-helical elements and three loops (D, anti-codon, and T loops).
Source: RNAcentral
GGUGAGAUGGCUCAGUGGGUAAGAGCACCGGACUGCUCUCCCGAAGGUCUGGAGUUCAAAUCCCCGCAACCCCG